Molecule: ribosomal RNA, 645 nt
Filed under: Pseudarthrobacter siccitolerans
Lineage: Bacteria; Bacillati; Actinomycetota; Actinomycetes; Micrococcales; Micrococcaceae
Description: bacterial SSU rRNA
Rfam family: Bacterial small subunit ribosomal RNA
Source: RNAcentral
CGAUGAUCUCCAGCUUGCUGGGGGGAUUAGUGGCGAACGGGUGAGUAACACGUGAGUAACCUGCCCUUAACUCUGGGAUAAGCCUGGGAAACUGGGUCUAAUACUGGAUAUUUACCUGUCACCGCAUGGUGGUUGGUGGAAAGCUUUUUUGUGGUUUUGGAUGGACUCGCGGCCUAUCAGCUUGUUGGUGAGGUAAUGGCUCACCAAGGCGACGACGGGUAGCCGGCCUGAGAGGGUGACCGGCCACACUGGGACUGAGACACGGCCCAGACUCCUACGGGAGGCAGCAGUGGGGAAUAUUGCACAAUGGGCGCAAGCCUGAUGCAGCGACGCCGCGUGAGGGAUGAAUGCCUUCGGGUUGUAAACCUCUUUCAGUAGGGAAGAAGCCUUUUCGGAGGUGACGGUACUUGCAGAAGAAGCGCCGGCUAACUACGUGCCAGCAGCCGCGGUAAUACGUAGGGCGCAAGCGUUAUCCGGAAUUAUUGGGCGUAAAGAGCUCGUAGGCGGUUUGUCGCGUCUGCCGUGAAAGUCCGGGGCUCAACUCCGGAUCUGCGGUGGGUACGGGCAGACUAGAGUGAUGUAGGGGAGACUGGAAUUCCUGGUGUAGCGGUGAAAUGCGCAGAUAUCAGGAGGAACACCGAUGGC